This 564-nucleotide ribosomal RNA is filed under the name uncultured Glomeromycotina. RNAcentral describes it as "SSU rRNA". It matches the Rfam family "Eukaryotic small subunit ribosomal RNA", at positions 548 to 1114 of the family's 1831-position model. Lineage: Eukaryota; Fungi; Glomeromycota. The record is from RNAcentral.
UUGGAGGGCAAGUCUGGUGCCAGCAGCCGCGGUAAUUCCAGCUCCAAUAGCGUAUAUUAAAGUUGUUGCAGUUAAAAAGCUCGUAGUUGAAUUUCGGGAUCAAAUUGUCGGUCGUGCCUCGGUACGCACUGGUAUUAUUGGUUCCUACCUUCUGAAGAACCGCGAUGUCAUUAAUUUGGUGUCGUGGGGAAUCAGGACUGUUACUUUGAAAAAAUUAGAGUGUUUAAAGCAGGCUUACGCUUGAAUACAUUAGCAUGGAAUAAUGAAAUAGGACGUUUGAUUCUAUUUUGUUGGUUUCUAGGAUUGACGUAAUGAUUAAUAGGGAUAGUUGGGGGCAUUAGUAUUCAAUUGUCAGAGGUGAAAUUCUUGGAUUUAUUGAAGACUAACUACUGCGAAGGCAUUUGCCAAGGAUGUUUUCAUUAAUCAAGAACGAAAGUUAGGGGAUCGAAGACGAUCAGAUACCGUCGUAGUCUUAACCAUAAACUAUGCCGACUAGGGAUCGGAUGAUGUUAAUUUUUUAAUGACUCAUUCGGCGCCUUACGGGAAACCAAAGUGUUUGGGUUC